Molecule: ribosomal RNA, 3533 nt
Filed under: Nanobdellota archaeon
Lineage: Archaea; Nanobdellati; Nanobdellota
Description: 23S ribosomal RNA
Rfam family: Archaeal large subunit ribosomal RNA
Source: RNAcentral
UGAUCUUAUUAUUAAAGCUACUAGAUGGAUAGCUUGGUUUGGAUAGCGAUAAAGGACGUGGCAAGCUGCGAAAAGCUCGGAUUAGGCGCAUGCGGCCUUUGAACCCGAGAUCUCCGAAUGCGAUAACGUUCUCAUUAGAGAAUGCCGAAAGGCAAGCAUACUCCGGGAAUUGAAACAUCUUAGUACCGGUAGGAAAAGAAAACAAUUGUGAUUCCCCCAAUAGCAGCGAGCGAAAAGGGAAUAGGGCAAACUGAAUCUCCGUUUGAAAAGACGGCAGAGAUGUGGUGGAGGCCAGUGGCUAAGUUGUCGAGGGAAAGUUCUCUGGAAAGAGGCACCUUAGAGGGUGAUAGUCCCGUACUCGAAGACAAUAUGCUGCUCUCUGAAAGAGUAGGGCCCCCUAGAUAGGAGGUCCGAAUAUAGCUGGAUUAACAGCUAACCCUAAAUAUUGAUCCAAGUCCGAUAGCGAACUUAGUACCGCGAGGGAAAGCUGAAAAGUACUCUUAGUCGAGGGUUAAAAGACUUGAAAUCUAGUAGCCACAGCUGGUUACGGCUCUUUUAUAGAGUUGUAACGUGCGUUUCGAAAAACGAGCCACGGAGUUCUCCUAUGUGGCAAGGUUAAAUUUAGAAGCCAAAGCGAAAGCGAGUCCGAAAGGGCGUUAGUCACAUGGGAGAGACCCGAAGCCGGAUGAUCUACUUGUUAGCAGGAUGAAGUUCUCCGAAAGGAGAAUGGAGGUCCGAACCAGUGUUGUAUGCAUGCACUUGGAUGACUUGUGAGUAGGGGUGAAAAGCCUAUCUAAUUCGGCGAUGGCUGGUUCCUGUCGAAAUAUGCCUCAGUAUAGUCUUGCCUAGUUUGUUAACGAGGUAUAGUACGGAUUGCGUUUGCAGAGCCUAACGGCUACGGAACUCGUUCCAACUCAGAACUUGUUAGCGACGUAAAGCAGGAAUGGGGGGCAGUGCGUAAGGUACUGUUCCGAGACCCGAACAAGGGAGACUGAAGUUAAGGUCCCAAAAUAUAUACUCAGUGUAACAAACCUGGUCUUUAACCUGAGACAGUAGGGAUGUAGGCUUAGAAGCAGCCAUCAUUUAAAGAAAGCGUAACAGCUCACCUAUCGAGGUUAGAGGCGGGGAAAAUGGACGGGGCUAAGUAUAUUACCGAUACUUCAGAGGCAUUCGUAAGAAUGUUCUGGUAGGCAGGCGUGCGUUCUGCGCAGAAGUUUUUUCGAGAGAAAGAAUGGAGCGGAGCGUAAUGAUAAUCGUGGUAUUAGUAAGAUCAAAUUAUCCUGAGAAUGGAUAGCGUCGAAAGAGCAAGGUUUCCUUGGCACUAUCGUUUAACCAAGGGUUAGUCGGUACCUAAGUCAUAUCUUAACUGCGUAUGGCGAAAGGACAUCCGGUUAAUAUUCCGGAACUUGCUAUUUUUGUUCAGUGCACGAAUUUGCUUAGGGAUAAGUAGCAUUUCGAGAGGAAUGCGGCGUGCGAAUACUGUGGAGCGUAAUGCUAAGAUGCAGUAAAAUCGCGCCGGGAGUACCUACUGACUCCUAGAGUCCAUGAAAACUUUGUGUAUAGAAAAUAGUAAGCCGUACCAAGAAUCGACACUGAUGCUCUAGCUGAGAAGGCUAAGACGUGAAAGGGAAAAACUGGUUAAGGGAACUCGGCAUAUUGGCCCCGUAUCUUCGGUAGAAGGGGUGUCUAUAGGUGUCUUUGAUUUAUCAUAGGCAUCAGUAGAUCUCAGUAACAAGGACCGCCCGACUGUUUAUCAAAAACGUAGCCGGUUGCAAAUCUGAAAAGACUAGUAUAACCGGUGAGACCUGCCCAGUCGCGGUGUUUCAAACUCUGUUCCAACGGAGCUAAGACCCGUGAAACGGCGGGAGUAACUAUGACUCUCUUAAGGUAAACAAAAGCUGCCUUACAGACAAUUCGUAAGAAUUGAAUGAUCUAGGAGUUAUAGAAAAUAGUCGAGCAUUAUAUGCAAAGAGUUAAACCAAAUAGAGAAAAUCGAGCUAUAUGCUGGAAAACCCGAGGAUCUCAAAGUACUUUAGAAAUAAAGUGAAAAUCUUUUGAGUGCGGACAAUCAGCAGGGAAGAUUUCUUAAAAAAAGAAAAACCCUCAGAGACUGAACGCUCGAGAUAAUUAAAAAUUAUUAAGAUAUAGUCCGACCUUCAUAGCGAUAUGAAGAAUUGUAUUCAAAUAAAAUGAAUACAGAUUAACAUUAAAUGAGCGUAAUGCCUUGUCGUCUGAAUGGCGACGUGCAUGAAUGGUUUAAUGAGGUGGUCACUGUCCCUAACCAGGUCCUUCUGAACUUAUUGAUCGGUGAAAAUGCCGAUGACGCCUAGUGGGAAGCGGAGACCUUGUGAACCUUUACUGCAACUUGUUGUUGUAGCUUUAAGGGAAAUGCAGAGCAUAGGUAGGAGCGUCGAAGUCAUCUUUCAGGAGAUGAUGGAGCACCAUUGUAAUACUACCCAUUUUUCUUGAAGUUGCUCACCCGAGAGGGGACACCAGCAGGCGGGCAGUUUGGCUGGGGCGGCACCCUGCAGAAAAGAUAUCUGCAGGGCCCAAUGACAAGCUCAACCAGGUUGGAAAUCUGGUGAUGAGUGCAGAAGCAAAAGCUUGUCUGACUGUAUUUCGCACAGCAAAGAAUGCAGAGAUGAAAGUCGGGUUCAGCGACCCCACGUAGUUUUUUAAUAGGACUCGUGUGUGACAGAAAAGGUACUCCAAGGAUAACAGGCUUGUCGCGCCCGAUAGCUCAUAUUGACGGCGCGGUUUGGUACAUCGCUGUCGGCUCUUCCUAUCCUGGUAGUGCACAGGCUACCAAGGGUGUCGGAGUUCACGCAUUAAAAGGGAUCGUUAGCUGGGUUAAGAACGUUAAAUAUACGCUAACACAUCCUGACCAAAACUUAAACUUGAAAAAGUUGAAGUUCACGCGGAAUUUAUUUCCGUGUUUGACCGCAAGAGCUGCAAAAAAGCGGCGUUGCGUGCGAGUAAUUGCACGAAAAAUUAAAUCAGCUCAUAUCGGGGAAACCUUUUUAUUUUAACUGUAAAUAAAAUGGCGAUCCCGAGGGAAGUCUACAAUAAUAUUGAAGACCCCGUAGAGACUUAGAGAUUUCUCUUAAAAAAAGAGAAUAGGAACCGUCAGUUCCAAAAAAAUCUAGACUUAUUCUUUAAUAGAAUAGGUAACACGCUGAUCCCCUUCGAUUGAAGGGUGAUGGUAUAGUCCACACAAAACAAAUAAAUAAGUUUUGAUUAUGUACGCGAGACAGUUUGUAUGAUAUCUACUAGGCGCGUUAUUGUCUGAGUGGAACGAGUAUCUAGUACGAGAGGAACGGUACUCGGGUGCCUCUGGUUUACCAGUUGUUAUGAAGCAGGCUGGGCAGCUACGCACUGAUGGAUAAGCCCUGAAAGCAUCUAAGGACGAAGCCACCCGCAAGACGAGACAAUUUAGGCCGUCAAAGAAGAUGACGUUGAUAGAGCUGGUGUGUAAGAUCCAAGGCAACGAGGAUUUCAGCAUGCAGCUACUAAUAGCCUCAUUGAGAUAAAAU